AUGGGAACAGAGACACUGAGGCAGCGGCCAUCUCCUAGGGAAUCUUUACUUCCCCGCCCAUCACUGGAACCGCCUGAAAUGCCCAUUCCGGUCGAUCAAGAGAGAAAGAAGGAUCGUCGGGCAGACACUGCUUCCAGCUGGGGGGUGGGGUGGGGGUACCGGGAGCCUGUGUCCUGUUCUAGCUGGACAGCUGCCCUCUGCCUGGCUGUAGGUGUCACUGUGGAGCAGGGCCACCGGGCACUGUGUCUGCUUGAGUUCACCGUGACCAUCAAGUUAAUGGGCUGGGAAAGGCAGAGAUGGCCCCUGGGGAAAAAGCAAGUAUCAUCGCAACAGAGUCUGAAGGGGAGGGGAUGGGGAAAGGAAAUGUCACGGAAUGAAUUGACAGAAGGGCCUGGAUGCAAGAUCCCGGGAAGAGGACAUCACACCCCCAGGAUGCUAGACAAAGCACUAGACGCAGAGUUCAGAGUCCAUUGGAAAGGUGGCCGAGCACGAUCAGCAUGAACAGGCCUAAGAUGGGGUCCAGGCCCUAUGAGUUCCUUCUUCAUCGACACGAUUGCCCUUGUGCUCCAGCCAUCCUGGCCUUCUUCCAGCUCCUCCAAGGCACCUGCUCCCCUGAAGGCCUUCCAGCCCCGCAUAGAAUCCUGCACCUGUGCGCUCCUCCCCACCCUCAGACACCAAGCUACGACAUCUUUCCCGGCCAGGGUCUCCCCUGGACCGUUCACUCCCUCGAUCUCUGCUGAGCACCCCGCGUUGCUCUGUGUCACCGUGACAACUGCAAUCUGUCAGGCACUAAUUAAGCAUCAGUCAUCCGCUUCCCCCCUUCCUAGAGCCCAUCCCUUUUGAUGAGCACUGCCACCCCAGGAUCUGGCCCUGUGCCUGGCCUGCGGGAGGCCUUCAAUAAACAUCACUGAAGCAACGGAGACUCUGAUAAGUCAUGCUGCAAAGGCUGUUUAACCUCAUCUAACCCAGUGUUUCCCCUAACGUGAAGUGAGUGCAGUCGCUCAGUCGUGUCCGGCUCUUUGUGACCCCAUGGGCUGUAGCCUACCAGGCUCCUCACUCCAUGGAAUUUUCCAAGCAAGCGUACUGGAGUGGGUUGCCAUUUCCUUCUCCAGGGGACCUUCCCAACCCAGGGAUCGAACCCGGAUCUCCUGCACUGCAGGCAGAUGCUUUACAGUCUGAGCCACCAGGGAAGCCCCUCCCCUAACGUGGCUGAGCGUGAAACCCUUCUCUCCUUUAAGUCCCAUUACUCUUCUGAGGAGCAGUGUGAAACCCUAGAUCAAGAUUCUAACUGGUUUGUGCUGUAUAGCACAUGGAACUCUGCUCAGUGUUAUGUUGCCAGCCUGGGAGAGGGAUUUGGGCGAGAAUAGAUACAUGUAUACGUAUGGCUGAGUCCCUUCGUGGUUCCUCUGAAACCACCACCACCAUUGCUAAUGGUCUAUACCCCAAUACAAAAUGCUUUUGCUGUUAAGAAAAUUCUAACAAGUCCAACUUCCACCAAAAUUGUGCUCCCCCGGAGCACACAUCCCAAGGCACAAAGGACCAAAUGUCAGAUGGUGAAAUAGUGGAGUCAGGCAGACCACCCCUCCUCCACUUUGGCUGUGAAACAGCCUGGGGCUCAGGGUGGACGCCCUGUCUGGCAUGGAGGAGAGACUCAGGAGGGACGUGGAGAAAGGUGCUUCCCAGCGGGUCUCGCCUGAGGUCCCACCUGAGCCGAGAAGCCAGGACAGGACUCCCAGGGUUCUAGAUGGAAGCAUUAGCUUUUGGUCUGUCCACACAGUGGAGGAAACAGCGGGCCGUUGGGAAAUGCCAGGCAUCAGGAGAAGCUUCUUGAUUGGGAAGUGCAUGUGGGGCUGAGCAGUGGGUGACUGGCCGCGUCCACCCCUCCAGGGCCACCUGCCAAGGUACGUGGCUUCCUCACUUCCUUUGCUCUGACAGUCACAGCUGGGGAGGGCGAGCUGAACAGCUCGCCCACCACUUACAAUCCCCAGGGAGCACUUCCUCCUGCUGAAUCAACUUGGAAGACAAGUUUCCGCUGUCGUGACCCAUCAUUAAAUACAACUGGCAGGACGAUUUUCCUCGGCUGGGGAUGCUCACGGUGGGCGGGAGGCUGGGCCAUCUGGGUCUUGUCGCUGUCCCCACCACACGCAGCCUCCUGUGCCUGCUUUGGCGCUGCUCCGCAUUCUCAGGCCGAGUUCCCACCAGAAGGGCCAGGAGGUCAGGCGGCUUUGCCCUCUGUCCAGGCGAGUCCUUGCCCCUGGCCUUGGCAGGAAGGGAGAGCAGAACCCCACGGCCAAGCUGGCCCAGCGGGGACCUCAGGCUUCACAAAGUGGGCAGGGUGGCCUGAGAGAUGUCUCCGACUCACGAGGUUUCCGAAUGUCACUGUCAGGCCAGGCACCCUGGAGGCUUGGGGGUCUCUGCCUAGCGAGCUCCAGGGAGACGCCCCACGUGAGGCAUAGACGCGCCCGGAUUCCAGCCAGGCUGUGAAGCAAAGAGGUCAGUGGGAGGGUUUUGCAGCCCAAAGGCCUCUGCUUGCUGGAGGAAGGGGGUGGUAGGCGGGGCUGCCCGUGGAAACACUGCUGUUUGACUGAUGAGCCUCAAGGUCAAAUGAACUCAGUGCUGAUAAGAGGUGAUUGAGCCAGGUUUUAUUCAGCCCUGCUCUGAUAGAGGAAAAAGCUGUGCUCACUUCCGAGGACAGCAGAGGCAGCUGGGGGCUUCCAGAUAGGGAGCCGUGCGGGGUCCAUGGGUGGAGAAUUGCUAACAGGAGGCUCCGGGGGAGGGUAAUUCUUGUUAAACGCAGGCCGAGGAGUAGACAUCAGGGAUGGGGAUGAAGGAGCUUGCUCCAAUGCCGAUGGUAGGGGGUGACAUCGCAGGAUUCUCUGCAAAGACCGGCUUAGACAGGUCCUGAACCAGGCCUGGGAGAACCUGUCUAAAGUUUGGUCAAGAAGAGCCUUUGCCCGAGUUCAAUCCAAGGAUGGGCUCUGAGUUUGGGGAGCAGGCCAAGCUGUGUCUCAGGCUCCAGAGAGUUCCCUCCCCGCGACUCUGUCUGGCAGGAGAGGGAGCAAGACUUAUCGCUCACAGGUCCUGCUGGAUACAGGGCAUGCCCAGGGCCACACGGUGAGCGGGUGCGGGAGAGAGUGAGGUGACCCCAGGCUCUGCCUUUCUUAGGGUCUGAGGGCGGGGUGUGUGCGUUUUUGAGGGGUCCCUUGUGGGCUAACUGAUGCAUGAGAGGGAGAGAUUGGGUGCGGGAAGCUAGAGGUGGGGUCACUGGCACCUGGUUACCCGGGUCCUCCUGGGCCUCCGUGGUGUGGGAGGCAGAACAGCCUGCCUGAAUGUUCUGCACAUGGCUGUGCCACGCGGCCGGCAACAUGUUCAUUCAGGAUGGACGUCUUUUGAAGCGUAUGCCUUGGUGCUUGAAACCUAACGUCAGGCAUUUACACUUCCGAUUCGCCUGGGACUCGUGCCCGGUCCCUCCUGCCACCUCCCCUUCCAAACUGCUCCAGUGGAUGUCGGGGCACCUCUGACGCGUGCUGGCCUUGUCUCAACCCAGCCAAGUCCCGGGAGCGUCCCAGGCUGCCCACCCCCUGCCUCCUCCUCCCCUCAUCACGCACACACUUAAUUUAGCCUGAGAAUUGAUGGCACCUGCGAUCUCUUUAUUAAGCGUGAGAUAAAAUAGUGAAAGGGUUAGUCACUCAGUCGUGUCCGACUCUGCAACCCCAUGGACUGUAGCCUGCCACCUCCCCUCUGUCCACGUGAUUCUCCAGGCAAUAAUACUGGACUGGGCUGCCUUUCCCUUCUCCAGGGGAUCUUCCCGACUCAGGGAUAGAACUCAGGUCUCCUGCAUUGUCUGCAGAUUCUUUACCAUCUGAGCCACCAGGGACACCCAACAUAAACACCCCUGUCAUUUUCAUUAAAAACAAACAAAAAACUACUUCAAGCAAGCCUUUAAUUUUUGUUCCACUCUUUAGAGUGUGGUCCUCACAGGGGGUUCCUUGACUCACAGCAUCAGCAUCCCCUGGGAGCCUGUUGAGGAUGCAGGUGCUUGGGCCCACCCUGACCUGCUGAAGCUGGAAAUUUGGGGGCAGGGGGAGCCAUUUGAAUUUUAACAAGCCCCCAGGAGAGUCUAAUGCAUUCUAGAAGUUGAGAACCACCAGUCUGGAGUAGAAUUUUGGUCUCUGUUUCGAGUAAAUCCAUUUGAAGCAGCCAAUUUGUCUUAGCUAUGGAGCCCUCCUGUAUUUCCUUUCAUUUUGGUCCUACUCGUUUGAGGAGAACCCAUUCCCAGGGUCUGAGUCCUCUUCAACAAGCCCACCAGUUACAUGAGGAGCAGGUGCCUUGAAAACAAUGCUUCUCCCGGCGGUGGUGCAAUGGAAUCACCUGGGAAACCGCCCAAACUCAGGGUUCUGGCCCCACCUCCAGGGGUCAGGGCCAAAUGCUUGGAUGUUCAUAGCUCCUCCUUGGCUCCAAGUAGGGGCAGAUGUAGAAACCUGGCCCAGGAAGGGAGCGCCCCUCAGAGGAGAGUCUGGCCGCCUGUGGCUCACUGUAGCAGAAUGGUUGCGUGUGUGUUAGUCGCUCAGUCGUGUCCAACUCUUUGCGACCCCAUGGACUGUAGCCUGCCAGGCUCCUGUCCAUGGGAUUCUUCAGGCAAGAAUACUGGAGUGGGUAGCCAUUCCCUUUUCCAGGGGAUCUUCCCGACCCAGGGAUCAAACCCAGGUCUCCCGUACUGCAGGUGGAUUCCUUACCUCGAAGCCCCGCUGUAGCGGAAUACUCGCUGACAAGCUAGAACUUUGGGUGGA
RNAcentral lists this long non-coding RNA (4790 nucleotides) under Ovis aries (sheep). Its description in RNAcentral is "lncRNA (ENSOARG00000026384.1)". The record is from RNAcentral. Lineage: Eukaryota; Metazoa; Chordata; Mammalia; Artiodactyla; Bovidae.